AGAAUCAACGCUGGCGGCGUGCCUAACACAUGCAAGUCGAACGCGAAAGCCCCGCAAGGGGUAAGUAGAGUGGCAAACGGGUGAGUAACACGUGGGUGACCUGCCUUCGAGUGGGGGAUAACGUCCCGAAAGGGACGCUAAUACCGCAUAACAUCCUGCCUUUGAAGAGGUGGAGAUCAAAGCUGGGGACCGCAAGGCCUGGCGUUUGAAGAGGGGCCCGCGCCUGAUUAGCUAGUUGGUGAGGUAAUGGCUCACCAAGGCAACGAUCAGUA
Molecule: ribosomal RNA, 272 nt
Filed under: uncultured bacterium
Lineage: Bacteria
Description: partial small subunit ribosomal RNA
Rfam family: Bacterial small subunit ribosomal RNA
Source: RNAcentral